GGAUAACACUAUUUUGCUAUUCCCGGUCAGUAACAUAAUGACAUGUGGAAAAAAUAUCUAACAUGUCAUAUGUUAUUGGCCGGGAAUAACAAAAAAUGUUAUCC
Molecule: microRNA precursor, 104 nt
Filed under: Prunus persica (peach)
Lineage: Eukaryota; Viridiplantae; Streptophyta; Magnoliopsida; Rosales; Rosaceae
Description: MIR6274 microRNA precursor family
Rfam family: MIR6274 microRNA precursor family
Source: Rfam by way of RNAcentral